This 240-nucleotide unclassified non-coding RNA is filed under the name soil metagenome. RNAcentral's name for it is "partial contains 5.8S ribosomal RNA, internal transcribed spacer 2, and large subunit ribosomal RNA". The record is from RNAcentral.
AACGGUCUAUACCUGCGGUACCUGCGGAAGGAUCAUUAUUGAAUUCAUUAUGCAAAGCUGUUGCUGACUUCGGUAUGUGCACGCUGAGCAAAAUUCAUUUCAACCACCUGUGAACCUUUUGUAGUCCUUGGGUAAUGCUACCUUUCAAAAGGAGACUUUUGGAUUUGAAUACUGCAGGUCAAAAGAUCAGCUUUAUUCUACAGCAGAGCCCGGGUCUAUUACAUUUACAAACACUGUAUG